RNAcentral lists this ribosomal RNA (266 nucleotides) under uncultured bacterium. RNAcentral describes it as "partial 16S ribosomal RNA". It matches the Rfam family "Bacterial small subunit ribosomal RNA", at positions 333 to 596 of the family's 1533-position model. The record is from RNAcentral.
GUCCCCCUACGGGACGCAGCAGUGAGGAAUAUUGGUCAAUGGGAGAGAUCCUGAACCAGCCAAGCCGCGUGAGGGAAGACGGCCCUAUGGGUUGUAAACCUCUUUUGUCGGAGAACAAAACCCGGGACGAGUCCCGGACUGCGUGUAUCCGAAGAAAAAGCAUCGGCUAAGUCCGUGCCAGCAGCCGAGGUAAUACGGAGGACGCGAGCGUUAUCCGGAUUUAUUGGGUUGAAAGGGUGCGUAGGCGGUCCGUUAUGUCAGCGGUA